Molecule: long non-coding RNA, 3676 nt
Organism: Passer domesticus (house sparrow)
Lineage: Eukaryota; Metazoa; Chordata; Aves; Passeriformes; Passeridae
Exons: 2
Source: RefSeq, a predicted model, not a curated record
AGCAUAACUGAGAAAGCACCACUACCACAUCAGAACUCUUUUCAAUUUCUUUAACCUCUGAUAAAAACACUAGGAGCUCAUCAGCUCAAACUGGGAGCAGUGCAAAUGCUACCAAUUACAGUGGCAGAAACACUGCGGUUAUGUACCUAAACUUCACAGUACAAUUCAAGAGCUGGGCAUUACCAAAUCCUACACAAUGAAGACUAGAACAAACUACUGACUCACUUCAAACAGAGGAGAUCAAGAAAGUUAGAGUUCAGCUGAGUGCAAGAAAUUGCAGGCAAAUAUCAUUUGGAUAAGGCAUAUGAUCCUGGAAACAACUCAAAGUUCAAGCAGCAUGUAAGCACUCACACAAAACACCACCUGGGAACAAAAAACAACUGGACCAUUGGAUUAUUCUACAAGUUUCUUGAAGGCAUUUGGAUGAGCUGAGUUUAUUACAGCUUGUAAAACCCUAGACUGGCAGGGGCUUCACCAUUGAGAGCAGCAUUAGUGUCAAACUACUGUUCAAUUCAAGUAAUCGCUUUCUAAACAGCAGCUACAAGUAGCUAAUAAACAGCAUUUGCAUCUAUUCCUCAGAAACAUUUGUGACAAGCUAGGUGACCUCUAUGCCAGGACAGACAAGUCUGUGAUAGGUCAGACUAUGGAGAGUGAACCACAACCUCUGGGGCAGGACACAGGCAAGCCAUGCCACAGGCUUUGAGUUACAGCAGCAACACCUCUGCAGAGGGUAGGCAGCACCACACCUGUACCACAAAUUACUGCUCACACUGCCCCAUCCAUCUCCAACAUGAAACAUUACCUGUUUCUCCCUAAAGGAACGCUUGUUCUUGGUCCGGACACUAUGGCUGUAUCUCAUCAUCAUGAAGUUCUUGUUCUUUUGCUUUUCUUUGUUGGAAGAGCUGGCAAAUGGGUUAAUCUUGGUUUUCUUUUUCACAAAUUCCUUUCUGUCUGUUUUUCCAGCCUAGAAUACAGUGUGAUAGAUCAACAGGGGGUUAUUUUCCUUCACCUACUUAUCAACAUCACCUGCCUGAUGGUAACAGGUUCCAUGGCAGUAACAGCAAAUCUGAGUUCAUCAUGACUGUGUUCAUACAUGCCUUCUCCCAUACAGGCUGUAUUUGUUAAGUCAAAGUGAUAAUUUGGUCUGUUUGCUUUUUCAUGGUCACAUGUGACCAGAAGGAGACUGUUACAGCCAAGACGCAACAGCAAAGAACCAAACAAAUCACUUCUCAAAAUCCACAUGGCCGCUGGGCACCUACCUUAGAUAUGCAGCCUCAGCAUUUCCUCCUGCACAAGACCAACCCAAACCCAGAAGGACAGGAUACAGGACACACCAGUUUCUCACCUUUGCUGUUGCCAAUCUGGUCUCCUUGUCCGACUUGGGCUUCUUAUGCAGAUGUUCAAUAUCUCUGAGUGAAAGCAACUCCCCCCUACACACAAAUCCAAUAAAUGUCAGCACACAAAACUUCAGCUGGCAAGGGAAAAAAACAUGCCCUCUUCACCCUUUGUCUCUUACCCAUCCUAGGCCACUGUCUCACCAACAGUUUAGACACAAAUACUUCUUGUUCCCUUCAAGCUGCUCCUCAUGCUUGGGAUAUCCAUUACACAAGUCACCCACUUAUUUUUCAAGUCCUUUUCCCACCAAGUUUAAGAAACGCUGGAGCUACAACCAGGCAGCUACUGCUGCAAAACACCCCCUCUCACACCUGUUGGCCUGAACAAGUCAAACAGUCUCAGACCUUCCACAAGCUCCUCAUGACGUUUUUCCCAGGUAUAAGCAAAGCCCCAGCCCAGGAUCCAUUCUAGGCUCUGGCUGUCACCAGGGAGCACUGAUGAACAGCAGAGCCCUGCAUCCUGCUGCAAUGACAAGCUGCAUCAGGAGAGGAUAGGUAAAAAAACCCCAAAAAUCAAACCACUCAACAGCCCAUAUCCUACCUGCCCUCCUCCUCCUCUUCAUCAUCUAUUUCAAUAUAUUUGCGCUUGGCAGCUUUGCCAGGUGCAGAAUUAAUUUCUUUGGAAAGCUGGGCAAGACGUAUUUUCUUGAAGUCUUCCUGAGUUAGCAGCCUGCUUGUACUGACUGCUGCAGCUUUGGCUUUCCGUUCCUCUAUGGGCAUGCUUUUCACUUUUUCUGCCUUUGGAAAAGAAAAUGGUACAAAAGAAUCAGAGCAUCGCACCCCACCCCUGUGCUACAAUCCAUGAUCCUUGCCUCCCAAAUACACAACAUACAAUGGCAAUACUGUUGGGAGAUGCUACAACCAGAUAUUAGACCUUUUGCUUGUCUCAUAUCCAACAUCUAGUGUCUGAAUGGAGUGCAUGCACACCAGAUUUUGGGAGUACAAGCUCUCAGCUGAUGAUCACAGCUCUGAAGGCACUGAGCCCUGAGAUAUAACUCCUCUUUCUCCCCUCCCACCCUAACAGCACAUUAACUGCAGCAACAGCACUUCAGCCUCACUGCUUCAGGACAUCUCGCUCUGAAGGCCAGGGUAGGUAUUUAAAAGCAGUACAUGAGGGUGAAGAGCAAGAGGAUCUGGCCUAUAAUUAACAAAACUCUAUGUAUUUGGCAUAGAAGAGACUUUCAACUCACUACUUGUUGCUGCUGCUCCUCAUCGGAGGAGUGAUGCACAUCAAUCCAUUCUCCAUCGUCAUUGUCCUCCUCCUCACUCAGACUGGCACUUUCCCAGCCAUCUGCUCACAGAAUAAGUACAGAGCUGUUAAUACAAAUUCAUCUUCACUACCCAGAUAGGCAAUAAUUGAUGCUUGGAUCACCUGCUCUUGCUGCCAUGUAUUUCACUUAGCUCCUAACUGUAUUUUGCCCUGGGACAUGAUCAACACUACGCUCUGCAACGCUCAGUUGUCAUCUCCAGGGCAAGAUCCUAAAAACGAGGUGCAUUUGGGACAGGCUGAAGCACCACAGGAGUUAACAGACACUGAUUACCCUCAUCAGCAAUAGUGUUCCCCACACCCAGCCACCUAAACCAGCCCAACAAGAGAAGCACUGUGGUUUAUAGCUGGGUUAGUUACGAGUCUAAGCACUGCUCUUCACUACCGUGCUGGCUGCUGUGCUGAAGUUAGCAGCUGCAGCAGCCAAGCCCAGUAUUACAGUGAUCACUGCACAGCCUGUCCCAUCAGGGCCUACAUUCCUCCAACACAGCACCUGCAGCAUCUUCAAGGCACUCAGACUUCAUUUGCCAAACUGCCUUGCUUUUAAAGGCUCUUCCAUCUCUUUUCUGACUCAGGCAGGGGUUCCAGGGUGUGUAAAGCAUUUACACAGGAACUGAAUUCAAUAAGCCAUAUAUUAUAUCCAACUACUAUUUUGGUGUUCUACAAUAUUCAAAAGGUUUAAUUUAGGAGAAGCUGAACACAGUUCACAGCUGUACUGUCUGUCCCUCUGCUUCCCAUCUCAGUGUGUACCAUAAAAACCAAACAGUACCAAACCCCACUGACAAACUGCACUUACUCAAGGACAGACAUGUGCAAGCCAAGGCACAGCACAGCAGGAAAUGAAAUGCACUAACACCAGGUUCCAUGUCCGCAUAAAACCUUAGUGAUGGUGAUGCCCAAACCAGAAUUUUUGAAGAAACAAGGCCAACCUUCCUCUUGGGUUCCUCCCUUUUCCUUUUGAUCCGCAACCUCCAGUACUUCUGCUCCUGGAAUGUAGUCUUUGGCAUCCAGUUCU